Cottoperca gobio is the source of this 183-nucleotide long non-coding RNA. RefSeq lists it as uncharacterized. The record is from RefSeq and is a predicted model, not a curated record. The transcript is spliced from 3 exons. NCBI's taxonomy places the organism in Eukaryota, Metazoa, Chordata, Actinopteri, Perciformes, Bovichtidae.
GUUCCUUCAGUUUUAUCCAGAUGGCAGUGCUGUGGAUCUUCUGAGCCCCAAUAAACAGACUCUAAAAUGUGUGGCACACCCCGUCCUCGGAAGCCUUGUAGGAGGUUUAUGUGAGGUGUGUGUGUGUUCAGCAGAAGAAGCCUAUACUCAGUAUGAAACAUGCAGGGAGACUCUGAAGACCAG